This 71-nucleotide transfer RNA is filed under the name Cavia porcellus (domestic guinea pig). It matches the Rfam family "tRNA". From Rfam's summary of the family: Transfer RNA (tRNA) molecules are approximately 80 nucleotides in length. Their secondary structure includes four short double-helical elements and three loops (D, anti-codon, and T loops). The record is from Rfam by way of RNAcentral. Lineage: Eukaryota; Metazoa; Chordata; Mammalia; Rodentia; Caviidae.
GGGGAUAUGGCUCAGUGGCAGAGUUCUUGCUUUGCAUGUACAAGGUCCUGGGUUCAAUCCCAGUGCCCCCC